GGAAAAAAAGAAAACAAUCAGUGUUUGGGGAAGUUUGCUGCAAUUAUACAGGGAUGCAUGAAGACAGAGGAUGUUGUUUUAGGUGUUGAAAUUCUCCAUCAUGAUUGCCUCAAUGUUAUGAUGGGUAGUAUCCAACUGAUCUUGAUGAACUUAUGUGCUUGCUCAAUGAAAAUUCUCCAGGAUAUUUAAUGCUUUUGGAAAAGAUGAGCAUGACGUCGUGGAGAUGCAUGGAGUCGAUGAUAGAGUACAGAGUGUUCAGAAAGAUUGAACAGAGUUGUAUUUAAUAUUUUUCAACCAGCUUGUUUCUUAGUUUAUUUCACAAUGUGUUGUUCUAACUAAUCUCUUUUAUCUGUCAGUAUUUUCCUCAGAAGUCUUGUGCCAUGAGGUGUUUGAACUAAAAUGUAAUAUUACCAUAUAGUCUCUUUCUUAUUCUGUUUUCUCA
Musa acuminata AAA Group (dessert banana) is the source of this 442-nucleotide long non-coding RNA. RefSeq lists it as uncharacterized. The record is from RefSeq and is a predicted model, not a curated record. NCBI's taxonomy places the organism in Eukaryota, Viridiplantae, Streptophyta, Magnoliopsida, Zingiberales, Musaceae. The transcript is spliced from 2 exons.